Molecule: long non-coding RNA, 227 nt
Filed under: Elaeis guineensis (African oil palm)
Lineage: Eukaryota; Viridiplantae; Streptophyta; Magnoliopsida; Arecales; Arecaceae
Description: long non-coding RNA (EGUI_LNC027104)
Source: RNAcentral
GGCUAGUUACAGUGGUUCGGUUGCAUCGGAAAGGCACAACCACUUUAUUGGUAUUAGAUGUCCUAGGGUAAAGAUGAGGUUGGACCCAAUAACUGUUAGGUGAAAGAUUCAAUGAUGGCUUUGCACUCGCUGGUGAAUGGUGGGUCGGACUUAACUAAGAAAUAUGUCAAUAAUUUUAGGUGAGGCCACAGGAUUUAGAGAUCAAAUCGCUGUAACAUACUUGGAGA